Molecule: ribosomal RNA, 4281 nt
Filed under: Triticum aestivum (bread wheat)
Lineage: Eukaryota; Viridiplantae; Streptophyta; Magnoliopsida; Poales; Poaceae
Description: partial small subunit ribosomal RNA
Source: RNAcentral
AUGGAGGCGGCGCUGGAGGCGGCGCGCUCCAAGGACACCAAGGAGCGUCUGGCCGGGGUGGAGCGGCUGCACGAGGCCCUGGAGGCCGCGGCGCGGCGCGGGCUCACCGCGGCCGAGGUCACGGCGCUCGUCGACACCUGCAUGGAUCUCACCAGGGACGCCAACUUCCGGGUCGCGCAGGGCGGCCUGCACGCGCUCUCCGCCGCCGCCGUGCUCGCCGGCGACCACUUCAAGAUCCACCUCAAUGCCCUCGUGCCCGCCGCCGUCGAGCGCCUCGGCGACGGCAAGCAGCCCGUCCGUGACGCCUCCCGCCAGCUCCUCGUCACGCUCAUGGAGGUUUCUUCUCCAACAAUCAUUGUUGAAAGAGCUGGAAGUUAUGCUUGGACUCACAAGAGCUGGAGGGUGCGAGAAGAGUUUGUGCGCACCCUUGCAACGGCAGUUGGGCUUUUUGCUUCUACAGAGCUCCUUCUACAGCGAGUGUUUCUUUCACCUGUCCUGCAAUUGUUGAAUGAUUUGAAUCAAAGUGUUAGAGAGGCUGCAAUCUCCUGUAUUCAGGAGAUGUACAAAAAUAUGGGAUCUCAGUUCCAUGAAGAGCUGCAGCGCCAUAAUCUGCCUUCUUAUAUGCUAAAGGAAAUAAAUUCAAGAUUGGAUAAAAUAGAACCAAAGGCUCCCCCAUCUGAUGGUGCUAGAACGCAAUAUAGGGCCAUGGAAAGAUCUGUUAGUGCUCAUCCUAAAAGAGGCAGUCCAAGGAAAAAAAACACAUCCAGGGAAAGCACAUUAUUUGGAGGUGACACAGAUAUUACCGAAAAACCGGUGGAACCCAUAAGAGUUCAUUCAGAGAAAGAAUUAUUUAGAGAGAUUGAGAAGAUUGCAUCUGCCCUUAAUCCAGAAAAGGACUGGUCUAUACGUAUUGCUGCAAUGCAAAGGAUCGAAGCCUUGGUAUAUGGAGGCGCAAUUGAUUAUCCAUCAUUUUUCAUGCUCUUGAAGCAGCUGGUUCAUCCAUUGUCCUCUCAGCUAGCCGAUCGACGGUCUAGCAUUGUAAAGCAGGCAUGUCAUCUACUUAACGUACUAUCGAAGGAACUCCUCAGCGACUUUGAAGCAUGCGCUGAAAUAUUUAUUCCGGCACUUUUUAAGCUUGUUGUCAUAACUGUGCUCGUGAUUGCCGAAUCUUCAGACAACUGUGUAAAAACUAUCCUGCGGAACUGCAAGGUUUCACGUAUUGUUCCACUUAUAGCUGACACAGCAAAAAAUGACCGCAGUGCAAUCCUCCGUGCCAGGUGUUGUGAGUAUGCACUUCUAAUAUUGGAAUAUUGGGCCGAUGCUCCAGAAAUACAACGCUCAGCUGAUUUAUAUGAAGAUCUAAUAAAAUGCUGUGUGGCAGAUGCAAUGAGCGAGGUUCGUGCAACUGCAAGAAGUUGCUAUAGGAUGUUCAUAAAGACAUGGCCUGAGCGUUCACGUCGGCUUUUUAUGUCAUUUGAUCCUGCAAUACAGAGGAUUAUUAAUGAUGAAGAUGGGGGCAUGCACAAGCGAUAUCCUUCAUCAUUGCAUGAGAAGGGUGCUCAACUUUCUCGUUCCUCAUCUCAUGCAAGUGGUACACAUUUGACCGGAUAUAGCACUUCAUCUAUUGUUGCAAUGGACAAGGGUGCAACAAUUUCUUCUGAAUCAUCUCUCCCGUCAAGCAUGCUCUUGUUGCAGUCUAAGGCAACUGGCAGACAUGCGGAAAGAAGCAUAGAGAGUGUGCUUAGUUCAAGCAAACAAAAGGUUUCAGCCAUUGAGAGUUUAUUGAAAGGCGUAGGCAUCUCAGGCAGGCAAAAUUUCUCAGCUGUGCGCUCAACAAGCUUGGAUCUUGGAGUUGAUCCUCCAUCCUCUCGUGAUCCUCAUAUACCGCUUGCUGCGCCUGCUUCAGACCGCCUUUCUUUGCAGAGUUCUGCAUUGUUGGAUUCAUCCCUCCCUAGCAUAAGCAUCAGAAGAAAUGGUGGUUCACGUUUGGUAGAUGCAAUGCCUCAGGUAGACACCAAGGAGCGAUCGAGGUCACCAUAUUCGCAUAAUCUAUCAUCUGAACCCAUGUCGGAUUUGUCAGUGCCUUAUUUGAGAAGAUCUUCAGGGAGAUCUCAAGAUGAUAGUAUUACAGAUGAGAGUAAUGAUACAUGGCCAAGGCCUAACAGGCGAUCGCCACAGAUGCAUACGGACAAACACUUCACAGAUAUGCCUUAUAGGGAUGCCAGUUACAGAAAUCCACAAAACAACCAUGUCCCACACUUCCAAAGGCCGCUUAGGAAGCAAGUGGCAUCAAGGGUUUCUGUGGGUGUCAGACACAGUUUUGAUGAUGGCCAUGUCCCAUCUAAUGACAUGUCUGGAUAUACAGAUGGCCCAGCAUCACUAAAUGAAGCCCUCUCUGAGGGUCUUAGUCCAAGCUCAGACUGGGUAGCAAGAGUUGCAGCUUUUAAUUUUGUUCAGACAUUAUUGCAACUAGGACAGAAAGGCAUUCAAGAAAUUACUCAGAACUUUGAAAAGGUCAUGAAGCUAUUUUUUCGUUAUUUGGAUGAUCCUCAUCACAAAGUUGCACAGGCAGCUUUCUCCACACUUGCAGAUAUUGUUCCAGCAUGCAAGAAGCCACUUGAGAGCUAUGUUGAAAGAAUUUUACCAUAUGUCUUUUCAAGACUUAUUGACCCAAAGGAGUUGGUUUCUAAGCCAUGUUCAUCGACCUUGGAAGUUGUUGGCCGAACAUAUGCUGUUGACACAUUGUUACCUGCAAUAGUACGUUCACUGGAUGAACAAAGGUCUCCUAAGGCGAAACUGGCUGUUCUUGAGUUCGCUAAUAAGUCAUUCAGCAAGUACAAGGUGGACUCUGAAGGUUACAGUAAUAGCGGCUUUCUUAAGCUCUGGCUUUCAAAACUAGCACCUUUAAUACAUGAAAAGAAUGCAAAGUUGAAGGAAACGUCCAUUAAAGGAAUCAUAUCAGUUUAUUCUCAUUUUGAUUCAACAGCAGUCCUAAACUUUAUUCUAAAUUUGUCGAUUGAAGAACAAAACCUUGUGAGGCGCUCGCUCAAGCAAUAUACUCCUCGUAUUGAGGUUGAUCUGGUAAACUACUUGCAGAGCAAGAAAGAGCGUUCACGUCCCAAGUCUUAUGAAUAUGAACAGAUUGAUUUUGGAACUUCUGAAGAUGGUUAUAAUCUGACAUCCAGGAAUAGCUAUCCUUUUGGACGGGUCUCUGCUAGUUCCUUUGACAAUGAAUCUGGGAAGAGGAUGCACGCAGUUCAAGAUGUCCACACUGAUCAUGCUAAUCAGUGUUUUGAGCCUUCUUCUGAAGCUGAAAUUUUUACAGCAAGUCGGGAGUCAAAGAGCAAUGCUCGCUCAGUUGUAGAAGCUGCACGCUCAUGGGCAGAUUAUCCUGAAAAAUCAGAUGCCACCAUUGAUGAUGAAAAUUCUGUUGGCACCCCUCGCCAGGAUUUUGGCCGUCAUGUCUCUGAUGGACAUAAUAAUGCUGCUUUUACAACUGUUGGGAAAAAUAUGCAAGACAUGGAUCAAUUUGUCGACCUUAGUUCUGUGAAGGUUGUCUCACAUACAACUAACAGCCCCAGCAUACCACAACUUCUUCAUCAGAUAAGUAAUGAUGGUGAAGUUUCAUCCCAAGACAAGCAGGACGCAUUGCAGCAGUUGGUGCAAGCAUCUGCGAACAAUGAUAACUCUAUAUGGACAAAGUAUUUCAAUCAGAUUUUAACAACUCUCCUUGAGGUAUUGGAUGACUCUGAUUCUUCUGUCAGGGAGCUUUCUCUAUCGCUAGUUGCUGAGAUGCUCCGCAAUCAGAAAGAUCAAAUGGAAGAAUCCAUAGAGAUUAUCCUUGAAAAGCUGGUGCAGAUGACCAAAGAUGUUGUGGCAAAGAUUUCAAAUGAAGCAAACCAGUGCUUAAAUGUCGUGUUGGCAAAAUAUGAUCCGUUUAGAUGCCUUGCUGUUAUUGUGCCAUUGCUAGUUACUGAUGAUGAGAAGACACUUGUCAUGUGUAUCAACUGUUUGACAAAGCUUGUUGGGCGGCUUUCACAAGAGGAAUUGGUGGCUCAACUCCCUUCAUUUUUACCAGCACUUUUUGAUGCUUUCAGUAACCAGAGUCCAGAUAUUCGCAAGACUGUUGUAUUCUGCCUGGUGGAUAUCUACAUCAUGCUAGGGAAAGCAUUUGUACCGUAUCUGGAGGGGCUUAGUAGCACACAGUUGCGGCUAGUAACAAUCUACGCAAAUCGGAUAUCGCAGGCAAGGUCUGGUGCACCUAUCGAUGCUAACCAAUGA